UCGCCAGCAUCUAAGUCCAAAUUUGUUGCCU
Molecule: non-coding RNA, 31 nt
Filed under: Mus musculus (house mouse)
Lineage: Eukaryota; Metazoa; Chordata; Mammalia; Rodentia; Muridae
Source: RNAcentral